RNAcentral lists this transfer RNA (73 nucleotides) under Mustela putorius furo (domestic ferret). It matches the Rfam family "tRNA". From Rfam's summary of the family: Transfer RNA (tRNA) molecules are approximately 80 nucleotides in length. Their secondary structure includes four short double-helical elements and three loops (D, anti-codon, and T loops). The record is from Rfam by way of RNAcentral. Lineage: Eukaryota; Metazoa; Chordata; Mammalia; Carnivora; Mustelidae.
ACUUGGCUGGCUCAGUCAGUGGAGCGUGGGACUUCUGAUCUCGGGGUUGUGGGUUCAAGUCCCAUACUGGGUG